AUUCCCGCUCCAAUAGCGUAUAUUAAAGUUGUUGCAGUUAAAAAGCUCGUAGUUGAACUUUGGGCCUGGGCGGACGGUCUACCUAUGGUAAGCACUGUUGCGGCCGGGUCUUUCCUUCUGGCUAGCCCUCGGGCGAACCAGGACGAUUACCUUGAGGGAAAUUAGAGUGUUCAAAGCAGGCCUUUGCUCGGAUAUAUUAGCAUGGAAUAAUAGAAUAGGACGCAUGGUUCUAUUUUGUUGGUUUCUAGGACCAUCGUAAUGAUUAAUAGGGACGGUCGGGGGCAUCAGUACUCAGUAGUCAGAGGUGAAAUUCUUGGAUUGACUGAAGACUAACUACUGCGAAAGCAUUUGCCAAGGACGUUUUCAUCA
This 369-nucleotide ribosomal RNA is filed under the name Pichia sp. Its description in RNAcentral is "partial small subunit ribosomal RNA". It matches the Rfam family "Eukaryotic small subunit ribosomal RNA", at positions 582 to 975 of the family's 1831-position model. Lineage: Eukaryota; Fungi; Ascomycota; Pichiomycetes; Pichiales; Pichiaceae. The record is from RNAcentral.